RNAcentral lists this ribosomal RNA (1362 nucleotides) under Cephalonomia gallicola. Its description in RNAcentral is "16S ribosomal RNA". The record is from RNAcentral. Lineage: Eukaryota; Metazoa; Arthropoda; Insecta; Hymenoptera; Bethylidae.
AUUUAAAAUAUUAAUUUAAUAUUAUUUAUUUAAAGUUUAUUUAUUAUUAAAAUGAUUUUUUUUAAUUUAUAGUUUUAGUAUAUUAAUUAGAAAAAAAUAAUUUUUAAUUUUUUUGAGUAAAGUGAUUGAAGUUAAUAAAAAAUAAAAUAGGAAAAUUAAUUUUUUGUUCCUUUUGUAUUAGGAUUAAUUAAAUUAAAAAUAUAUAUUUUAUUUAUCUAGAAAUUUAAUGAGUUAAAUUAAUUUGAUUUUAUUAUAUAAAAAUAUAAUAAAAAAAAUUUUUUUAGUAAUUAAAUGUUAAUCGAAUUAAAUAAUAUCUAGUUUUUUAUGAAAUAAAUUUAAUUUAUAAAAAUAUUUUUAUUUAAGAUUUAUUAAUUAAAAUUUAAUUAAUAAUAUUUUUUAAUAAUAUAAGGAUUAUAUUUUAUAUUAGAAUUAUAAAAUUUAUUUAAUUUAUUUUAAAUUUAAAUAAUAGAUUUAAAAUUUAUUUUUUUUAAUAAGUAUUUAAAAAUUAAAUUGAUUAAUAUUAAUUAUAAGAUUUUUUUUUGUUUUAAUUUAUUAUAAAUAUAAUAAAAUUUUUUUUAUAAUUAUUUAAAUUAUUUAAUAAUGAUUAAAUUAGUAAAAAUUAUGUUUUUAAAUUUUUAAUUUAUUUAUAUUAAAUUUAUGAAUUUAGCAAUUAUUUUUAUUUACCUGUUUAACAAAUACAUGGUUUUUUGAAUAUAAUAUAAAAUUUGUUCUGCUCAAUGAAUUUUUUUUAAAUGGCUGCAGUAUUUUAACUGUACUAAGGUAGCAUAAUAAUUUGUUUAUUAAUUGUAAACUAGAAUGAAUGAAUUUAUAAGUAAAAACUUUAUUAAUUUAAUUAAAUUGAAUUUAUUUUUUUAGUAAAAAAACUAAAAUAAUUAAAUGGGACGAUAAGACCCUAUAGAAUUUUAUAAUUUUUAUUAAAAUAGUUUUAUUAAUAUAUUUAAUUAAUAAAAUUUAUUUGAUUGGGAGGAUAAUUAAAUUAAUUAAACUUUAAUUUAUAAAUUCCAAUAAUUAUUGAAUAUUUGAAUUUUUAUUAAAUUGAAAAAGAAUAAUUACCUUAGGGAUAACAGGGUAAUUUUUUUGGAUAGGUCAAAUUGAAAAAAAUGUUUACUACCUCGAUGUUGAAUUAAGAUAAAAUUUAUUAGAAGAAAAUUUUUAUUUUAGUCUGUUCGACUAUUAAAAUCUUACAUGAUUUGAGUUCAAAUCGGCGUGAGCCAGAUUGGUUUCUAUCUAUUUAAGUUUAAUUUAUUUUUGUACGAAAGGACUUAAUAAUUAUAAUAUUUAUUUUAUUAUGGAUUAAUUUAAUUUUAUAAAAAAAAUUAAUUAAUAAUUAAUUUAAAGUAA